UCUCUGUGCAGUUGUGCCCUCCCUGGGGCUCAGCUCAGGUCCGUGCCCCGCGGCUGGUGGAGUGUGGCGAGUUGUGCUUCCUGCCGGGCGGGAGCUGCCUUGGGAAGCUGCUCUGUCCCCACGGCUGUGCCGAGCUGGGAGCUUGGACAGGGAAGGGCAGGGCCCGUCCUGCCGGUGAGAAUUGGGUUGGGCUGGGGGAGGAUGGAAUGGAGUGUGUGCCUGUUAACUCCACGGAGAGCCAACAGCUGGGAGAGACCCCGAGCAGGUUUGGUGCCAUGAGAGCAGCUUCAAAAGACCUUGAGUGUUGGAGAAAUGUCCAGCAGAACCGGCUCCUUUUUUGCAAGGAGGCAAUUUGCAAGGACAGGGGGGUUGCUGUGCUCUCUAGCAAAAAAAGGUUUCCUUAUUCUCUCAGCAGGAUGUCGAGUGCCACCGUGUCCCUGAGGUCACCCUUUCUCCUGUUGGGAGAGCACGAGGUGUAUGGAGAGGAUCCCCAGGCAUCUGCAGGAACAAGGGACUUCUAUGACUCCAACUUGCCUACUGCAGCUGUAGGAUGGACUUUCAAGAUACCAUUGGGAAUGUGCCAGCACUCUCCUGCUGGAGUUUUUUUAUGCUGUAUUUGAACACAAUGAGUAAAACUAAAGUCAGGGAAUAACUCCUGUCAGCAGCAAGGUCCUGACUGAAGUGGCAGCUGCAGUUGUUCCUGUGGUGUGGGCCAGUGGAACUGCAGGAGAGUGGAAGAGGGCAGAACCUAAGGUGAAUGCAAGAACCUGCCAAGAAACCAAUGGCCAAGGGGAUUGAUUAGUGCAGGACCUGAGAGAACCCCCUGAAAUGACAACCUGGAGUAGUUUCCAGUAUUAGAUUGCAAAGAUGGCCUUUGCUGCAUCUCCUUGAGCAAGGAAAGCCAAGAAACCUUUGCUU
This is a long non-coding RNA of Pseudopipra pipra, 918 nucleotides long. RefSeq lists it as uncharacterized. NCBI's taxonomy places the organism in Eukaryota, Metazoa, Chordata, Aves, Passeriformes, Pipridae. The record is from RefSeq and is a predicted model, not a curated record. The transcript is spliced from 3 exons.